This 403-nucleotide ribosomal RNA is filed under the name uncultured bacterium. RNAcentral describes it as "partial 16S ribosomal RNA". It matches the Rfam family "Bacterial small subunit ribosomal RNA", at positions 28 to 526 of the family's 1533-position model. The record is from RNAcentral.
GACGAACGCUGGCGGCGUGCCUAAUACAUGCAAGUCGAGCGCAGUGGGGACGGGUGAGUAACCCGUGGGUAACCUCCCAUCAGAGGGGAUAACACUUGGAAACAGGUGCUAAACCGAUACUGAUGGAUGGACCCGCGGUGCAUUGGCUAGUUGGUGAGGUAACGGGUCACCAAGGCCACGAUGCAUAGCCGACCUGGAGGGGGGAUCGGCCACACUGGGACUGAGACACGGACCAGACGACUACGGGAGGCAGCAGUAGGGAAUCGGCGGCAAUGGACGAAAGUCUGACCGAGCAACGCCGCGUGAGUGAAGAAGGUGUUCGGAGCGUAAAACUCUGUUGUGAGAGAAGCGGUAGCUAACCAGAAAGCCACGGCUAACUACGUGCCAGCAGCCGCGGUAAUAC